CAGUCGCCGCGGGAACACGAAGGGUGCAAGCGUUAAUCGGAAUUACUGGGCGUAAAGCGCGCGUAGGUGGUUCAUUAAGUUGGAUGUGAAAGCCCUGGGCUCAACCUGGGAACUGCAUCCAAAACUGGUGAGCUAGAGUACGGUAGAGGGUAGUGGAAUUUCCUGUGUAGCGGUGAAAUGCGUAGAUAUAGGAAGGAACACCAGUGGCGAAGGCGACUACCUGGACUGAUACUGACACUGAGGUGCGAAAGCGUGGGGAGCAAACAGGAUUAGAUACCCCCGUAGUCCCUGUCUCUUAUAC
RNAcentral lists this ribosomal RNA (301 nucleotides) under uncultured bacterium. RNAcentral's name for it is "partial 16S ribosomal RNA". It matches the Rfam family "Bacterial small subunit ribosomal RNA", at positions 509 to 807 of the family's 1533-position model. The record is from RNAcentral.